GGGAAAGCCAAAGAAAAAGGGAAGUGUGAAUGUUCCAACCGGGAAAGCAGCUUAAGAGGAAUACCCAUUCUAGCCUAUAGUUCGUGGGAAACUGGACUACUAGUAUUUGGAAUGUUGCUUGGAGGACACAGAGACAAAGCAAAAGCAAGUGGGAAACCCAGAAAGUGCCCUUUCAGAGGAGACCUAAAUCUGAUCUGCGGACUGAAGCCAAGCUCAGUGGAGACCAACUAAGAUCAGCAGGACUGUGGAUACUCUGGGAUUCUUUGAAGUGCAAUAUUCAACCUUCAUACAGCGUGAGUAAGAAAUACAUACUUCUUGUUGUAUAUGUCACUAAGGCGAUUUGUGUUUGUUUUUAUUGCACAUAUGCUAGUGAAUGCCGACUAAUACAUGUUUUAUCCCAUCUGCUUGUUC
Camelus dromedarius (Arabian camel) is the source of this 411-nucleotide long non-coding RNA. RefSeq lists it as uncharacterized. Lineage: Eukaryota; Metazoa; Chordata; Mammalia; Artiodactyla; Camelidae. The transcript has 3 exons. The record is from RefSeq and is a predicted model, not a curated record.